This 1282-nucleotide long non-coding RNA is filed under the name Homo sapiens (human). Its description in RNAcentral is "HSALNT0128550". Lineage: Eukaryota; Metazoa; Chordata; Mammalia; Primates; Hominidae. The record is from RNAcentral.
GACCCCAGUUAUUCCAGCUGUUAAAUGGAGUGGAUCAAAAGGCUGAUUAAAUGUAACGGAUUCCAAAGAAUGGCUGGCACAUAGAUGGAUACCAUUCAAGCCCAAGGAAAACCAAUGCUUCUUUUCAUCUAUGGACUCAAGUCUCAGAAAGCAGAGAAGUGAGUGUACCAAGUGCAACAAACGUUUGAGCAUUGUUCUGCUGCCAAUAUUGAAGACAGCCACUGCUUUGAAGUGUGGGGAGGAGAGCUAGAGCAUAUUUGCCUGCCACAGUUAGUUUUGUGUUUCCAUGGAAUUUGAGCAAAACUGAUGCACUUGUCUCCCAGGAUUAAUCCAUACAAGUCACCUCUAAAAUUAUCUUUUCCCAUUCGUUGACUGAGCAAAAUGGACUUCAAGGACCUAAAGGAGGUUAAAUACCACAAGAUGGAGGAGCUUGAGUCUCUGAAUCAUUGUGUGUGAAGUCAUCUGCCAAUUACAUAAAUUGAAUUCUUGGAACUCCGGAGUUUCAACUACCAGAGACUGAAGGCAGGAGAGAAAAACUAAGACAAAUGACUUCAAAGCCUUUCUGAAAUGCCACAGAGGGUCAGGAUUACAAUCUGCCUAUUCUGAUUCUUCUACUAUGGGAAAAAAUCUUUUUCAGAAUUGAUGUAAAGCCUCUGUUAAUACUUUUCCUGUUAACAACCUAACUAUUCAACUGCUGAAUAAAAACCAUUAGGACAACUAAAGAAACUGAGAGAUUUUGGCAAGAAAUAGUCAUUCCAAUAUCAAUGACUACGGAGGAAAUGCAAUUACUUUUCUUUGCUUAAGUUUUCCAGGGCCUUUCUCUGUUGCCCAGGCUGGAGUGCAGUGAGGCAAUCUUGGCUCACCACAAUCUCUCCCUCCUGGAUUCAAGCAAUUCUCCUGCCUCAGCCUCCCGAGUAGCUGGGAUUACAGGCAUGCACCACUACACCCGGAUAAUUUUUGUAUUUUUAGUAGAGAUGGGGUUUUACCAUGUUGGCCAGGCUGGUCUUGAACUCCUGACCUCGUGAUCAGCCUGCCUCGGCCUCCUAAAGUGCUGGGAUUACAUGCAUGAGCCACUGUGCCCUGCCAACUUGUUAAAUUUUUAAUCAUUCUGCUCACCUUUUGCAACCUUACUGACUUUUGUGUCUACCUUAUCUAGCAGUGGCUGAAAUUUCCUUCUAUGAUUAUAGAUUUGUCUGUUAUUUCUUAUAGAUUUCUCAAUAUUGCUUGUAUUAUUAUUUUAAGUUAAUACCAUUAGGCAUAAAAAUUCAAAAUUGUUAUCGCU